AAUAGAUACCCGGGUAGUCCACGCCGUAAACGAUGAGUGCUAAGUGUUAGAGGGUUUCCGCCCUUUAGUGCUGCAGCUAACGCAUUAAGCACUCCGCCUGGGGAGUACGGCCGCAAGGCUGAAACUCAAAGGAAUUGACGGGGGCCCGCACAAGCGGUGGAGCAUGUGGUUUAAUUCGAAGCAACGCGAAGAACCUUACCAGGUCUUGACAUCCUCUGACAACCCUAGAGAUAGGGCUUUCCCCUUCGGGGGACAGAGUGACAGGUGGUGCAUGGUUGUCGUCAGCUCGUGUCGUGAGAUGUUGGGUUAAGUCCCGCAACGAGCGCAACCCUUGAUCUUAGUUGCCAGCAUUCAGUUGGGCACUCUAAGGUGACUGCCGGUGACAAACCGGAGGAAGGUGGGGAUGACGUCAAAUCAUCAUGCCCCUUAUGACCUGGGCUACACACGUGCUACAAUGGAUGGUACAAAGGGCUGCAAACCUGCGAGGGUAAGCGAAUCCCAUAAAGCCAUUCUCAGUUCGGAUUGCAGG
Molecule: ribosomal RNA, 529 nt
Filed under: uncultured bacterium
Lineage: Bacteria
Description: bacterial SSU rRNA
Rfam family: Bacterial small subunit ribosomal RNA
Source: RNAcentral